Molecule: ribosomal RNA, 369 nt
Filed under: uncultured eukaryote
Lineage: Eukaryota
Description: partial 18S ribosomal RNA
Rfam family: Eukaryotic small subunit ribosomal RNA
Source: RNAcentral
CAAUAGCGUAUAUUAAAGUUGUUGCAGUUAAAAAGCUCGUAGUCGGAUUUCUGGUCGGAAGCUCCUGUCCUCUGAUGAGCGUACAAGUGCGUCCUACCAUCCUUCUGUUAACCUUUAAGGCUUUCGCGGCUUUCUAGGGGCUCAGAUAUUUUACCUUGAGAAAAUUAGAGUGUUUCAGGCAGGCUAGCGCCGGAAUACAUUAGCAUGGAAUAAUGGAAUAGGACUUUUGCCUCUUCUGUUGGUCAUGAGGCUCGAGUAAUGAUUAAUAGGGAUAGUUGGGGGCAUUAGUACUUAACUGUCAGAGGUGAAAUUCUCGGAUUUGUUAAAGACUAACUUAUGCGAAAGCAUUUGCCAAGGAUGUUUUCAUUA